UUGACGACAAUAUAAGCCAUCAGACUACCGAAUCUUUCUUUUUGAAUGCUAACCAACUCCAAUCUAAUAAAUUUAAGGUAGUUUAAGUUAGACUAGUUAGAUUUCAUUAAAUUAUAUUUGGUUACAGUAGAUGGAAUAGAUGAAGUUUGGUUAGAAUAUAUUGGUUUCAAAUUGUGGUCCAAGUCCAGCAGUUUCGAGGAAGGUGGGGGAUAAAUCGAUGUAAUCCAUCCCAGUACUGAACUGGUACUCGUUUUAUCGACCCCGAAAGGAUGAAACUCAACCUCGGCGCAAUAUGAAUGAAGAAGGUAAAGACAGACGAAAUGCCGAUAAGCAUUUUGCCCGGCACGCUAACGAUUCUGCCAGCUCGCCGCCUUUUAAGGAAUAGGACAAAAACACGUCAGAAUGGAAGGAAUCGGAAAAGAAAUUCAAAUUACAUAAAAAAGAAGUCUUUCAUCACUUACAUAUUAUAAGUCAUAAUGCAUGAAAAAGGAAAAUAUUAAAGUUUCACUGUGCCAGCGAAAACAAUUCUACCAAUAAUGCAUGUGAGAAACGUCACUGCUCAAGUCUUAUUUUAGUUACUAUCAUGCUAAAAUAUGCUUAUUUAUCACAACAGUAAUAAGGCUCCAGAAGAAUGCAAAUUCUAAAUGAAAGCCAGAAGGAUUGGAACGCAGAAGGUAGAAGUACGAAAAUAAAUAAUGAAAUAAAUAAAUGGAGAUAAAAAGAAAAGAAAAUCAUAGUGAGCUGCCGUAGUGUUUUUGCCAAUUCACCCCCACACUGUUUAACAGCAGCAAUUAGAUAAACAUUAAAAGCAACAACAGCUCCGCGAUAACAUUAAGGCAACGUUAUUAAUAACAAUGAUAACAACAACAGCGACGAUACUGACAAUAUUGACAAUAGCUAUAACAAGAGGAAGAGAUGAAACUUCUAAACGUCUAUUCCCACCUCAUCUAUACAUUUUAUUUUUAUUUUAUUUUAUAUUCCCUCGCGGAUAUCACUGCUCUGCGAUGGA
This is a long non-coding RNA of Octopus bimaculoides (California two-spot octopus), 1009 nucleotides long. RefSeq lists it as uncharacterized. NCBI's taxonomy places the organism in Eukaryota, Metazoa, Mollusca, Cephalopoda, Octopoda, Octopodidae. The record is from RefSeq and is a predicted model, not a curated record.